Molecule: long non-coding RNA, 1763 nt
Organism: Phacochoerus africanus (Common warthog)
Lineage: Eukaryota; Metazoa; Chordata; Mammalia; Artiodactyla; Suidae
Exons: 3
Source: RefSeq, a predicted model, not a curated record
AAUGCUGAAGCUUCCAGAAUAUGGCACGUCUCUUGAAGUCUCUGCGCAUGUUUGGUUUUCUCCCCUUGGAACGCCUUUCUCCUGUUGUGCCAUCCGGCAGACUCCUAUCGAUCCUUCAAAACCCAGCUCAGACACUGCUGCCUCUGAGAAGCUCUCUGGCAUUCUUCCCUGAAUUCCCUUACACACCUGGCACCCGUGACCCCCAACCCGUGUCCGCGAAUGCGGAAAAGAAUGAGGAGGCGACAGACAAGAGCUAAGCAGGAAAACGUAGAAAGAGCUGCUAUGCUUUUUUGCGAGUGUUGUGGUGCGUUCUGCUCUGACCAUCUGUCCCAGUGGACCCGGGCUUUCGCUGGUGUCAAUUCCUAUUUCCCAAGAGCCACACCUGCCGUUCAUAACGCACCCCCUCGCUGGGCGGAAAACUGCAAGACAGAUCGUUCCCGGGUCUCCAAAGAGCCCCACGGGCUGAACAGGUUGCAGGCGUGUCUGGGAUCUAAUGCGUUUACACCAGCUAAGGGGGAAAGAAGAGCUAGUGAGCUGUCAACGUCCUUUCGCCUGUGCCUGGGAUCAGCUGACUUUGAGAUCCAUGAUCGAAAGCCUGAGAAGUGAUGCAAAGCCCAGGAGCACGGAGGAAACACCUCACCAGAGGUCAGCCGUCGUUCGCUGACUUCCCCACCGUCCCGACGAUGACCUGACUUAAGACAGUGUAAUGGCGGCUGAGACUAGUGGGGCUGAAGGGGUGGGCAAGGCAGCCCUGCAGUGAGAACCAGGCAGCCUUAAGGUGGGAUUUCCAGCCCCGCUGCUUACUCAGCAGGUCACUUGGUAUCUCUGGGCCUCAGUUUCCCCAUCUGUGAAAUGGAGGCAGUAAGGCCCCCCUCUAAGGGGGAAUGUGAGGAUCAGAUGAGAGGCCGAGGGCGUGGCACCUGGCACCGGCCUGGCCCACAGCAGGUGCUCCUUGAGGGCAAGCUGCCUUCCCUUUCUCCAGGUGACAGGUCAGGACCUGCUGCUCAGGUCGGAAGCCUGGACUUGAGAUUGGACACAGGGCACCCAGCCUCAAGUUGCAGCCCUUGAACACGACUCAUUUCAGAGCCUGAGUCUUUACUCUUCUGGAGGACGAGACUGGUCUCCCAAUGGAGGACAGACACGUCCUCUGCUCCCCUGCCUGCACUGGCCCGUGCCACCCACGUUCUCCCCCUCGCCCCCACCUCCUUCCGUGCUGCGGAAUGGAAGGCCUGGGCCGGUUUCCUGGACCGACGGGUAGUGACAGGCAGCCUGGGCCUGCAGAGAGCGGAGGCUCUAGGUAGCAGGGACCUCGCGCAGGAGUCUGAGGGGGUGUGGAGGAGCCACCUGGGGAACUGAGGUGCCAGAAGGGUAGGGGCUGCUGCUAGCAGAGAGGGACAAAGAUCUGGUGGCCGUGCAUAGUUUAAACAAGAAGUCACCAACUCCAGAGUCCCCAGGGGACUAGGCAGGGAGAUAAAUGAGAGCAGGCUUCCCAUCUAUAAAGCGCUUAGAACAGCAUGGGAACAGGGUCAACAAAGUGAGUUUCUGAAGCACCCCUGGCCUUGACUAAGCCUCACGGUGCACUGUCUCCUCUGCCAGAAUGGAAGCUCCAGGAGGGCAGGGGACAGCCUUCCCCCGAAUGCCCCAAACAUGCCUGGCACUUGGCACACACUCAAAGCAUGGGGCCACCUGGCAAAGCCAACGGCUCAGAUGGGUGGCACUAAGCUGCUGUUGGAUUUUCGCUUCUUUCUCCUUCCCUUCCUUCC